ACAUCGGUGGUGUAGUGGUCAAUACGUUUGCCUGGUAAACAGGAGGGCGUGGGUUCGAUCCCAGCCGAGGUA
Molecule: transfer RNA, 72 nt
Filed under: Diaphorina citri (Asian citrus psyllid)
Lineage: Eukaryota; Metazoa; Arthropoda; Insecta; Hemiptera; Psyllidae
Rfam family: tRNA
About the family: Transfer RNA (tRNA) molecules are approximately 80 nucleotides in length. Their secondary structure includes four short double-helical elements and three loops (D, anti-codon, and T loops).
Source: Rfam by way of RNAcentral